RNAcentral lists this non-coding RNA (29 nucleotides) under Mus musculus (house mouse). The record is from RNAcentral. Lineage: Eukaryota; Metazoa; Chordata; Mammalia; Rodentia; Muridae.
GGAAAUACACAUCCUUAGGAUUGUCUGGG